This is a long non-coding RNA of Mus musculus (house mouse), 428 nucleotides long. RefSeq annotates it as predicted gene, 31089. Lineage: Eukaryota; Metazoa; Chordata; Mammalia; Rodentia; Muridae. The record is from RefSeq and is a predicted model, not a curated record. The transcript has 3 exons.
CUCUCAGCCGCAUAGAGGAAGAUAGUGUGCAUGCAGAGAGCAAUGGGUAGUAGAAGAGGUGUGCAGUGACAUCACUGUGUGAGUGACACCACGUACUCAUGUCUAAUAUCGAAAGAUCACUUUCUGCCCAGAGACAUCAGGGGACUCUGAGUAGGAGCGCAUGAGUGGAUCUGAGGAAGGAGGCUGCACUGGAUGAAGUUGGGGGCUGAUCCUAUUGGAAGAGAGAAGAUGCAAAUCAUGGGUAAAAAGACAGACAUGUCCUGUGGUUGGGACCAUCCUUCAUCGCAUAUCUCACCGAAAAGUCAAUUACACGGCCUCUAAAUGAACCAGCACACCCAGGAGACACAGUGGUGUGAGGCAGCUGCAUCUGUGAAGUUACAAAAACAGCCAAAUGUUUCAAAGCACGGAUGUCUGACCUCUGAUCCAAC